This 460-nucleotide ribosomal RNA is filed under the name uncultured bacterium. RNAcentral's name for it is "SSU rRNA". It matches the Rfam family "Bacterial small subunit ribosomal RNA", at positions 26 to 518 of the family's 1533-position model. The record is from RNAcentral.
AGGAUAAACGCUGGCGGCGUGCCUAACACAUGCAAGUCGAACGCCCUACGCAAGUAGGGAGUGGCGGACGGGUGAGGAACACGUGGGUUAUCUGCCUUUCGGUGAGGAAUACCAGCGAGAAAUCGCUGACAAUACCGCAUACGGUUCUUUCGAGAGGAAGAACGAAAGUCGUAAGACGCCGGGAGAUGAGCCUGCGCCCGAUUAGUUUGUUGGUGGGGUAAAAGCCUACCAAGACUGCAAUCGGUAGCUGGUCUGAGAGGACGAUCAGCCACACUGGGAUUGAGAACGGCCCAGACUCCUACGGGGGGCAGCAGUGAGGAAUUUUCGUCAAUGGGGGAAACCCUGAACGAGCAACGCCGCGUGCAGGAGAAGGUUUUCGGAUCGUAAACUGCUUUUCUGUGGGAAGAGAACGGACGGUACCACAGGAAGAAGCCCCGGCUAACUACGUGCCAGCAGCCGC